GUUGAUUUAGUUUAUUAUUUAAAAUGUUGUUUUGUGGAAGCAAAGAAAAUAGGGAUUAAUCAAUU
This 65-nucleotide transfer RNA is filed under the name Meretrix lamarckii (Korean hard clam). RNAcentral describes it as "tRNA-His". Lineage: Eukaryota; Metazoa; Mollusca; Bivalvia; Venerida; Veneridae. The record is from RNAcentral.